CUCAUUUGAUGUGCACUUCUCCCUUGAUUAACAGUGGAAGCAAAAACUGAUUUAAUGAGUCUGAUGA
Molecule: non-coding RNA, 67 nt
Organism: Solenopsis invicta (red fire ant)
Lineage: Eukaryota; Metazoa; Arthropoda; Insecta; Hymenoptera; Formicidae
Source: Rfam